AUUGAACGCUGGCGGCAGGCCUAACACAUGCAAGUCGAGCGGAUGAAGGGAGCUUGCUCCUGGAUUCAGCGGCGGACGGGUGAGUAAUGCCUAGGAAUCUCCCUGGUAGUGGGGGAUAACGUCCGGAAACGGGCGCUAAUACCGCAUACGUCCUGAGGGAGAAAGUGGGGGAUCUUCGGACCUCACGCUAUCAGAUGAGCCUAGGUCGGAUUAGCUAGUUGGUGGGGUAAAGGCCUACCAAGGCGACGAUCCGUAACUGGUCUGAGAGGAUGAUCAGUCACAAUGGAACUGAGACACGGACAAGACUCCUACGGGAGGCAGCAGUGGGGAAUAUUGGACAAUGGGCGAAAGAAUGAUCCAGCCAUGCCGCGUGUGUGAAGAAGGUCUUCGGAUUGUAAAGCACUUUAAGUUGGGAGGAAGGGCAGUAAGUUAAGACCUUGCUGGUUUGACGUUACCAACAGAAUAAGCACCGGCUAACUACGUG
RNAcentral lists this ribosomal RNA (484 nucleotides) under uncultured bacterium. RNAcentral describes it as "partial 16S ribosomal RNA". It matches the Rfam family "Bacterial small subunit ribosomal RNA", at positions 30 to 507 of the family's 1533-position model. The record is from RNAcentral.